Molecule: ribosomal RNA, 424 nt
Filed under: Verrucomicrobiota bacterium
Lineage: Bacteria; Pseudomonadati; Verrucomicrobiota
Description: Verrucomicrobia bacterium partial 16S ribosomal RNA
Rfam family: Bacterial small subunit ribosomal RNA
Source: RNAcentral
UGAGGAAUAUUGGUCAAUGGGCGAGAGCCUGAACCAGCCAAGUAGCGUGCAGGAUGACGGCCCUAUGGGUUGUAAACUGCUUUUAUAUGGGAAUAAAGUGAGGGACGUGUCCCUUAUUGCAUGUACCAUAUGAAUAAGGACCGGCUAAUUCCGUGCCAGCAGCCGCGGUAAUACGGAAGGUCCAGGCGUUAUCCGGAUUUAUUGGGUUUAAAGGGAGCGUAGGCUGUUUGUUAAGCGUGUUGUGAAAUGUAAGAGCUCAACUUUUAGAUUGCAGCGCGAACUGGCAGACUUGAGUGCGCACAACGUAGGCGGAAUUCAUGGUGUAGCGGUGGAAUGCGUAGAUAUCAUGAAGAACUCCGAUUGCGAAGGCAGCUUACGGGAGCGCAACUGACGCUGAAGCUCGAAGGUGCGGGUAUCGAACAGG